GACGAACUUUGGCGGCGUGCUUAACACAUGCAAGUCGAACGGAAAGGCCCUGCUUUUGUGGGGUGCUCGAGUGGCGAACGGGUGAGUAACACGUGAGUAACCUGCCCUUGACUUUGGGAUAACUUCAGGAAACUGGGGCUAAUACCGGAUAGGAGCUCCUGCUGCAUGGUGGGGGUUGGAAAGUUUCGGCGGUUGGGGAUGGACUCGCGGCUUAUCAGCUUGUUGGUGGGGUAGUGGCUUACCAAGGCUUUGACGGGUAGCCGGCCUGAGAGGGUGACCGGCCACAUUGAGACUGAGAUACGGCCCAGACUCCUACGGGAGGCAGCAGUGGGGAAUAUUGCACAAUGGGCGGAAGCCUGAUGCAGCAACGCCGCGUGCGGGAUGACGGCCUUCGGGUUGUAAACCGCUUUCGCCUGUGACGAAGCGUGAGUGACGGUAAUGGGUAAAGAAGCACCGGCUAACUACGUGCCAGCAGCCGCGGUGAUACGUAGGGUGCGAGCGUUGUCCGGAUUUAUUGGGCGUAAAGGGCUCGUAGGUGGUUGAUCGCGUCGGAAGUGUAAUCUUGGGGCUUAACCCUGAGCGUGCUUUCGAUACGGGUUGACUUGAGGAAGGUAGGGGAGAAUGGAAUUCCUGGUGGAGCGGUGGAAUGCGCAGAUAUCAGGAGGAACACCAGUGGCGAAGGCGGUUCUCUGGGCCUUUCCUGACGCUGAGGAGCGAAAGCGUGGGGAGCGAACAGGCUUAGAUACCCUGGUAGUCCACGCUGUAAACGGUGGGUACUAGGUGUGGGGUCCAUUCCACGGGUUCCGUGCCGUAGCUAGCGCUUUAAGUACCCCGCCUGGGGAGUACGGCCGCAAGGCUAAAACUCAAAGGAAUUGACGGGGCCCCGCACAAGCGGCGGAGCAUGCGGAUUAAUUCGAUGCAACGCGUAGAACCUUACCUGGGUUUGACAUGGAUCGGGAGUGCUCAGAGAUGGGUGUGCCUCUUUUGGGGUCGGUUCACAGGUGGUGCAUGCCUGUCGUCAGCUCGUGUCGUGAGAUGUUGGGUUAAGUCCCGCAACGAGCGCAACCCUUGUUCACUGUUGCCAGCACGUUAUGGUGGGGACUCAGUGGAGACCGCCGGGGUCAACUCGGAGGAAGGUGGGGAUGACGUCAAGUCCUCAUGCCCCUUAUGUCCAGGGCUUCACGCAUGCUACAAUGGCUGGUACAGAGAGUGGCGAGCCUGUGAGGGUGAGCGAAUCUCGGAAAGCCGGUCUCAGUUCGGAUUGGGGUCUGCAACUCGACCUCAUGAAGUCGGAGUCGCUAGUAAUCGCAAAUCAGCAACGCUGCGGUGAAUACGUUCCCGGGGCU
RNAcentral lists this ribosomal RNA (1346 nucleotides) under uncultured bacterium. RNAcentral describes it as "bacterial SSU rRNA". It matches the Rfam family "Bacterial small subunit ribosomal RNA", at positions 28 to 1381 of the family's 1533-position model. The record is from RNAcentral.